This 337-nucleotide unclassified non-coding RNA is filed under the name soil metagenome. RNAcentral describes it as "partial contains 5.8S ribosomal RNA, internal transcribed spacer 2, and large subunit ribosomal RNA". The stretch from base 1 to 120 matches the Rfam family "5.8S ribosomal RNA", at positions 35 to 154 of the family's 154-position model. The record is from RNAcentral.
GAUGAAGAACGUAGUAAAAUGCGAUAAUUAAUGUGAAUUGCAGAAUUCCGUGAAUCAUCGAAUCUUUGAACGCACAUUGCGCCCCCUGGCAUUCCGGGGGGCAUGCCUGUCCGAGCGUCAUUUCUGCCCUCAAGCACGGCUUGUGUGUUGGGUGUGGUCCCCCCGGGGACCUGCCCGAAAGGCAGCGGCGACGUCCGUCUGGUCCUCGAGCGUAUGGGGCUCUGUCACUCGCUCGGGAAGGACCUGCGGGGGUUGGUCACCACUAUAUUUUACCACGGUUGACAUCGGAUCAGGUAGGAGUUACCCGCUGAACUUAAGCAUAUCAAUAAGCGGAGGA